Dunckerocampus dactyliophorus (ringed pipefish) is the source of this 516-nucleotide long non-coding RNA. RefSeq lists it as uncharacterized. NCBI's taxonomy places the organism in Eukaryota, Metazoa, Chordata, Actinopteri, Syngnathiformes, Syngnathidae. The record is from RefSeq and is a predicted model, not a curated record. The transcript has 4 exons.
GAGAGGUAAAGUAAGCCAGUGUAGUUUCUGCAUCGCCUGUGAGUUUGAACUGAAUUUACCAGCUCAACGGGGAGCACAAGUCUUGUGCUGAAAGAUACAGCCAUCCCAUCCGUGGGCUUCCCAGUGAGAGCGAACAUUUUAGUUGUGGAGGCGUAGAAGAAGGCGAGUCGAGGCGGCCACACUCGGGGCCACGCUUCCCAGCAUCCCUCCCUGCUCCAUGUUCCCGCCUCGGCUUCCAAGAGCUCAGGCCCCCGGCUGUGUUGCCGUGACAACGGGAUGAGAAUGCAGAUUUGAGCAAAGGAGACUGUCUUGUAAACAUAACUCAACACUCCACCCAAACAACCUCGGAACGGUAACAGAUAGAGGCACACACCCGUGGCCCACUGAAAACAGCUCCACGACCCACUUUUGGGUCCCGAACCACCAGUUGAGAAUGCCUGAUCUAGACCACAUUACACGAGUUUGGAAACAACUGUACCGAGACUUCCCAAAUCUGGAUUGAUUAAUCUGCAGACC